Molecule: long non-coding RNA, 2216 nt
Organism: Ictalurus furcatus (blue catfish)
Lineage: Eukaryota; Metazoa; Chordata; Actinopteri; Siluriformes; Ictaluridae
Exons: 3
Source: RefSeq, a predicted model, not a curated record
CACAAUACUCCACAUGCACCUUCUAAACCAUUUAAAGUUUUAAAAACAGAUCAAAAACAUUUUUUCAUGGUCGCAUUUUAGAGUUUCUUACACCAGGAGUGUCAACAGGAUUUUACUCCAUGAUCGUCCCUCAUUUCUUCAUUUGUCCAUUUCUCUACAGAGCACCUAUCUAUUCAUCUAUUCAGGGCCACUGGAACCAUCCCCACCUUCUUGAAUGGUCAAAGGCUACUAUUUAAAAAAAUGCAGCUCUUUAGUUAUUUUAAUUAUCUAUCCAUCCAUUUUUUUUGUACCGCUUAUACUACACAGGGUUGCAGGAGGGGCCUGGAGCCUGUCCCAGGGGACUCGGGGCAUGAGGCAGGGGACACCCUGUACAGGGUGCUAACCGAUCGCAGGGAACAAUUGCACACCUAUUCACACACACCCAUUCAUGCACUACGGACAAUUUCGAGAUGCCAGUCAGCCUACAACGCAUGUCUUUGGACUGGUGGAGGAAACCGGAGUACCCGGAGGGAAUCCCUGAAGCACACGGAGAACAUGCAGUCUCCGAACAUAUAGGGUGGCAGGAAUCGAAUCUCCAACCCUGGAGGUGUGAGGCAAACGUGCUAACCACUAAGCACUAAUUCCUAAGUAAUACAUUUUUUCUUUCCUAUGUUUGUUAUUUCUGAAUGUGAUGGUGAUGAUGAUGAUGAUUAUUAUUAUUAUUAUUGUUAUUAUUGUUAUUAUUAUUAUUAUUAUUAUUAUUAUUAUUAUUAUUAUUAGGGCUGUUACUACUACUGGUAGUGAACACCGCGAGAGGGCAGUAAGGGAACUGAUUGUAUUUGCCGGAUGGACUUUUUGAAUUGCAGCUCUGCCCCUAUAGGCUGUGUAAUUUGUCAUAAACGGGGAGGGGGCUGGGGGGUUGGAGGGCUGAGGGGCUGAGGGGCGGGUGAAUGUGGAAACAGAGCAGUUGUCAUUGGAGGUUUGCAUUAUGCAUUCCAUUAUACUUCCUAGCAUGAACCCUGGCAAUCAGAGAAGGCAAAUAUCGAUUAAUCUUGCGGCCUGUGCGUGCUAGUCCACAGUUUUUUCAAUUACUGAACCCAUCCUCUUGGGAAAUAACAGCUCAAACUGAAAUGCACGGCUUGUAUUUGCUUGUAAAUUAUUUAUUGUUGAUUCAUUGCAGUUGACUUAAAAAAAUUGCACAGGAGACUCUCUCUCUCUCUCUCUCUCUCUCUCUCUCUCUAUAUAUAUAUAUAAAAAUGCAGGUUCAAUGAUCUGAUGGAGCGGACAGUGUGUGGGUUGGAGUUGGAGAAGUGGGAUGGAGAAAUAGAAGCAUUCUACGUAAAGGCUAAUUAUAAUAGGUACAGUAGGCAGGGCACGCGGGAAAGUGUUUGCUCGCUUCGGGAUGAACGGAUGUAAUGUGCGCAUCCAUGCAGCGCAGCACAGGAGAGGGAGGGUGAAGGGAGGCAGAGCAAACAUUCACACGCGCAGUGUUUAUACAGAAGCAUAAACCAAAAAACAACAACAAAAAAAAAACCCCACCAAAACUCAGUGACCGCACAGCUGGAGCCAGAAACAGAACGGGGGAGAAAGCACCAAACCGCUUGCUGAACUUUCCCGGAGAUUACGCAUGUGGACUCUCACGGACUGCGCCGUGGACACAGGGACAAAAUAGAGGAAAUCAUACAGAAGCUGACUACAGACCCUUAUCCACCAACCCCACUGGACUCCUGUCUGAUGAAAAUACAUCAUCUGGAAAAUAUUUCCUACAAAUCAUGAAGGACAAAGGCUUCAGAUCUUUUCAGUGGAGUAUUGUCUGAAGAUAAAGUAAACGGAGGCAUUUGCUCUGGCCUCUAGCUCAGUAGUACCCAGAGACUGCCUGCUUCCAGAGGCUUUUCUGCUUCUCUUUGGCUGUGGAGGAGAGAAAAUGAGCACCGCAUGAGAAAUCACUAUUGUGGAUUACUGAGUAUCAAGCCAGACCAAGAACCCCUGAUCAGUAAUGGGAACUGUUAGGAGGAAUUACACCUGAAACUUGACCGAAUUACAGAACGUAGCCUUUCUAUCCUGUUGGAGAAUCACUUCUGACAUGUAUGUCAGUUUUUCUGUGUGUUAUUUUAACUGAUCCAUUGUUCCACCAAUGUAGUGAAACAAAUGAGUGAUGUAGUGUAUAUAUAAACGGUUAUCUGAAGAAGUAACAAAAAUUAAUAAAAUAUCAGAAUAGACUCAAGGCUAUUUUUGCG